GAUGAACGCUGGCGGCGUGCCUAAUACAUGCAAGUCGAGCGAACGGACGAGAAGCUUGCUUUUCUGAUGUUAGCGGCGGACGGGUGAGUAACACGUGGAUAACCUACCUAUAAGACUGGGAUAACUUCGGGAAACCGGAGCUAAUACCGGAUAAUAUUUUGAACCGCAUGGUUCAAAAGUGAAAGACGGUCUUGCUGUCACUUAUAGCUGGAUCCGCGCUGCAUUAGCUAGUUGGUAAGGUAACGGCUUGCCAAGGCAACGAUGCAUAGCCGACCUGAGAGGGUGAUCGGCCACACUGGAACUGAGACACGGUCCAGACUCCUACGGGAGGCAGCAGUAGGGAAUCUUCCGCAAUGGGCGAAAGCCUGACGGAGCAACGCCGCGUGAGUGAUGAAGGUCUUCGGAUCGUAAAACUCUGUUAUUAGGGAAGAACAUAUGUGUAAGUAACUGUGCACAUCUUGACGGUACCUAAUCAGAAAGCCACGGCUAACUACGUG
RNAcentral lists this ribosomal RNA (497 nucleotides) under uncultured bacterium. RNAcentral describes it as "partial 16S ribosomal RNA". It matches the Rfam family "Bacterial small subunit ribosomal RNA", at positions 28 to 507 of the family's 1533-position model. The record is from RNAcentral.